GUUUUAUACAGUUUUACACUAUUCACAUUCGACGUUUAACCGUUCGUCUUGUUUGUAAAUUUUUUAGAUUAGUAUUUUUAUUGCUAUUAGAUGAUAAAACAUGAAUAGUACUUUAUGUGUGACUAAAUAUUUUCAAAUUUUUCACAAAUUUUUCAAAUAAGACAGACGAUCAAAUGUUAGAUACGGAUAUUCACGUCUGCACUUAUU
Oryza meridionalis is the source of this 207-nucleotide non-coding RNA. The record is from Rfam. NCBI's taxonomy places the organism in Eukaryota, Viridiplantae, Streptophyta, Magnoliopsida, Poales, Poaceae.